RNAcentral lists this microRNA precursor (205 nucleotides) under Oryza rufipogon (brownbeard rice). RNAcentral's name for it is "MIR812 microRNA precursor family". It matches the Rfam family "MIR812 microRNA precursor family". The record is from Rfam by way of RNAcentral. Lineage: Eukaryota; Viridiplantae; Streptophyta; Magnoliopsida; Poales; Poaceae.
AAAAAAGACAGACCUGGUUUCCGUGUCUAACGUUUGACCGUCCGUCCUAUUUAAAAAAAAUAUGAAAAAAAUUAAAAAGACAAGUCACGUAUAAAAUAUUAAUCAUGCUUUAUCAUCUAACAACAAUAAAAAUACAAAUUAUAAAAAAAAUUCAUAUAAGACAGACAGUCAAAGUUAAACAUGGAAACCCAGAGUUUGUUUUUUU